RNAcentral lists this ribosomal RNA (337 nucleotides) under Ixodes scapularis (black-legged tick). RNAcentral describes it as "partial 16S ribosomal RNA". The record is from RNAcentral. Lineage: Eukaryota; Metazoa; Arthropoda; Arachnida; Ixodida; Ixodidae.
GGUAUUGAAAUAAGAUUUUAAAUGAGUGCUAAGAGAAUGAUUAAACAAUUAAAAACUUUCUUUAAUUAAAUAAUUAAAUUUAAUUUUUUUGUGCAAAAGCAAAAAUAAAAUUUAGGGACAAGAAGACCCUAUGAAUUUUUAUUAUUAAUAUUUUGCAAUUAAAUUAUUAAUAAUUUAAUUGGGGCGAUAAAAAAAGAAUAAAUAUCUUUUUAAUUGUAAAAUAAGUUCCGUUUUUAGCGAUUAAAUGAAAAAAAUACUCUAGGGAUAACAGCGUAAUAAUUUUGGAUAGUUCAUAUAGAUAAAAUAGUUUGCGACCUCGAUGUUGGAUUAGGAUUCU